This is a long non-coding RNA of Manis javanica (Malayan pangolin), 1182 nucleotides long. RefSeq lists it as uncharacterized. The record is from RefSeq and is a predicted model, not a curated record. NCBI's taxonomy places the organism in Eukaryota, Metazoa, Chordata, Mammalia, Pholidota, Manidae.
UACUGCUCUGAUUUCUUCCCAGGAUAGCAGCUUCCUGGUCUGGGAGGUACCACUCAAGACUGACUGCUUUGUUCCCAAGGAUGAUUUCAUCUGGAACCAGGCUGUUCUGUCAUUGAUCGAAACUGGCUUUCUGGAGCAUUGUGCUGUGCCUCUGUGAUCUUGCUGGGCACCCCAUUCUGGAAGCUCAGUUCCCCUCCCAGUUGGCACACAGCUUCUCAUUUCCUCAGCCUUCUGUUCAUGAUUGAUGGAUCAGAUAGAGGAUGAUGUUGACUCCAUCUGGAAAGUGAGUCAGCCAGUCUUUGAGGAGACCUACUGGAGGCCUAGAAACAGUGCUCUGAACACAGACUCCAUUAGUUUAGAGACUGAUAGGGAAGGGAAAAUGGGACUGGCUUCUCAGUGGAAUCAAACUUCAGCCUGAAGUGGACUGUCCUCAAAAAUGAAGGCUCAUUAGAGUGUGAAUAACACCUGUUAUUAACACAAAUAUCUAGUUGAAGGCAGUCACUGAAAACGCUUUCUGAUCUCAGAUACCUCCCCAAGAGGACUGAGUGCUGAAACUUUCCACAAGUAAUUUGUUGGCCCAUUGGGCUAAGUCAGUCACAAAAGCUGACUGUGCCACUGAGGAAGAGAAAUACACUGGUGCCCUAUUGGAACCUUUACACCGCUGUUUUGUCUGAUGCGUCAGCCAACGAAUUGCAAAGGGCGAGGGGGCUCAGGUAGCCCAUGAGGAUCAUACAUUUGGGGACAAGGCCACAGAAGCAAUGAAAACAGUGAUUUCUUCCCUUCCCUUCUGGCCGUCUCUCCUCUACUCCUGAAGAGGCAAGCCAGCAAGUCAGCCACCCCCUCCCUUUUAACUCUCAGGUUCAGACACGCCCUUGGUUGCCCAGGUAAUGACCCAUUGACAUGGAGAUGAACUUCUCUCCACCCCUGAGGAUAUGCAAAUGAACUAAAGCCAGAAUGUUGUGGAGGGCCAGAUGUGAUGUCACCCCAGAAGUGACAUCACCAGAUCCACCAGGGAAUAAUAUCAACAGAAAAUGAUAUCACCAGAAGUGAGAUCACCAGAAACAGAAGUAACUGCAUCAGAUAUGAGAUCAGUCCACAAGUGACAUCAUUAUGAGCUUGUGUAUAUAAGUGGUGCUCUGAAAAUAAACUGUAUCACUUGUCCACCAUGCGUGAACAGUGAAC